UGAGGAAUAUUGGUCAAUGGGCGAGAGCCUGAACCAGCCACGUCGCGUGAAGGAAGACUGACCUUACGGUUUGUAAACUUCUUUUGUAGAGGGGUAAUGGCAGAUACGUGUAUUUGCGUGAAAGUACUCUACGAAUAAGCAUCGGCUAACUCCGUGCCAGCAGCCGCGGUAAUACGGGGGAUGCGAGCGUUAUCCGGAAUUAUUGGGUUUAAAGGGUGCGCAGGUGGCUAAUCAGGUCAGUGGUGAAAAGCUAUGGCUCAACCAUGGUCUUGCCAUUGAAACCGUAUAGCUAGAGAGGUGACGAGGUAGGCGGAAUGUGUGGUGUAGCGGUGAAAUGCAUAGAUAUCACACAGAACUCCGAUUGCGAAGGCAGCUUACCAGGCUUUAUCUGACACUUAGGCACGACAGCGUGGGGAUCAAACAGG
Molecule: ribosomal RNA, 425 nt
Filed under: Verrucomicrobiota bacterium
Lineage: Bacteria; Pseudomonadati; Verrucomicrobiota
Description: Verrucomicrobia bacterium partial 16S ribosomal RNA
Rfam family: Bacterial small subunit ribosomal RNA
Source: RNAcentral